UGGGGAAUUUUGGACAAUGGGCGAAAGCCUGAUCCAGCAAUGCCGCGUGUGUGAAGAAGGCCUUCGGGUUGUAAAGCACUUUUGUCCGGAAAGAAAUCCUUGGCUCUAAUACAGUCGGGGGAUGACGGUACCGGAAGAAUAAGCACCGGCUAACUACGUGCCAGCAGCCGCGGCAAUACGUAGGGUGCAAGCGUUAAUCGGAAUUACUGGGCGUAAAGCGUGCGCAGGCGGUUUGCUAAGACCGAUGUGAAAUCCCCGGGCUCAACCUGGGAACUGCAUUGGUGACUGGCAGGCUAGAGUAUGGCAGAGGGGGGUAGAAUUCCACGUGUAGCAGUGAAAUGCGUAGAGAUGUGGAGGAAUACCGAUGGCGAAGGCAGCCCCCUGGGCCAAUACUGACGCUCAUGCACGAAAGCGUGGGGAGCAAACAGGAUUAGAUACCCUGGUAGUCCACGCCCUAAACGAUGUCAACUAGUUGUUGGGGAUUCAUUUCCUAGUAACGUAGCUAACGCGUGAAGUUGACCGCCUGGGGAGUACGGUCGCAAGAUUAAAACUUAAAUGAAUUGACGGGGUCAUAGCUGUUUCCU
This 584-nucleotide ribosomal RNA is filed under the name uncultured bacterium. RNAcentral's name for it is "partial 16S ribosomal RNA". It matches the Rfam family "Bacterial small subunit ribosomal RNA", at positions 355 to 1375 of the family's 1533-position model. The record is from RNAcentral.